GGAGAGUUGGCAGAGCGGUUGAAUGCACCGGUCUUGAAAACCGGCGACGUUGAAAGACGUCCGUGAGUUCGAAUCUCACACUCUCCGCCA
This 90-nucleotide transfer RNA is filed under the name Caenimonas koreensis DSM 17982. RNAcentral's name for it is "tRNA-Ser". It matches the Rfam family "tRNA". Rfam says of the family: Transfer RNA (tRNA) molecules are approximately 80 nucleotides in length. Their secondary structure includes four short double-helical elements and three loops (D, anti-codon, and T loops). RNAcentral also lists the same sequence under 3 other names. Lineage: Bacteria; Pseudomonadati; Pseudomonadota; Betaproteobacteria; Burkholderiales; Comamonadaceae. The record is from RNAcentral.